RNAcentral lists this ribosomal RNA (393 nucleotides) under uncultured bacterium. RNAcentral's name for it is "bacterial SSU rRNA". It matches the Rfam family "Bacterial small subunit ribosomal RNA", at positions 521 to 916 of the family's 1533-position model. The record is from RNAcentral.
UAAUACGGAGGAUGCGAGCGUUAUCCGGAUUCAUUGGGUUUAAAGGGUGCGUAGGCGGACUAUUAAGUCAGUGGUGAAAUCCUGCAGCUUAACUGCAGAACUGCCAUUGAUACUGAUAGCCUUGAGUUUGGUUAAGGUAGGCGGAAUGUGUAAUGUAGCGGUGAAAUGCUUAGAUAUUACACAGAACACCAAUUGCGUAGGCAGCUUACUGAGCCGACACUGACGCUGAGGCACGAAAGCGUGGGGAUCGAACAGGAUUAGAUACCCUGGUAGUCCACGCCGUAAACGAUGAUUACUCGCUGUUGGCGAUACACUGUCAGCGGCUAAGCAAAAGCAAUAAGUAAUCCACCUGGGGAGUACGGCCGCAAGGUUGAAACUUAAAGGAAUUGACGG